GAUAGCCUGGGGGGAGCAUUUGUUUGUACUGCGUGCUUGAGAGUGGCUAUCAUUUUUGGGGGGUAGCAGAAGGUUUGGAAAAUAUAAAAAAAGCAAGACCACCAAGCUGUGACCUUCUUUUACCCUUAUUCAACAAUACAAGUGUAUUUUUCUGUAAUAUGUAUGUAGAUGUUUCUGAAUGGAGCAUUCAGAAUGCAGGCACCGUUGUGUGUGUGUUUGGGGGCUUUCAAUCUUUGGUCUCUUUCCAACUCGGCUACUUUUUCUACCCUGGUCGGCUCUUCUGUAACAAUUCACUAAGUUUGGGUCUCCUCCUCUUGCUUUUUCUCUAGGCUGAAAUGGUCCCAAUUUAGUGCCCUUCUGAAGUUCAGAGUUUUCCAUGCUCUUCAUGGCAAGCUCCAGUGUUUCCAGUUACCCUGACUUGCAGGCUCUGGUAACCAUGAUGCUGUGAGAAGCUGAAAGGGAACUGAUGCUGUGAUGAGAUAAACCACUCAGGACUUGGUCUUGGAGCUUCCUCCCCUCCCUUUUGCUCACGUGUCUACUCUCCCUGUAGGGGCUUCAGAGUCAGACAAUCUGAAAUGACAUAAUGGACUAACCUGAAGAUUUCCUGAGGCUUUAUGUUUGGACCUCCUCAAUAACCUCAAAAAAAUCUGGGGACCUGUGACUUCUUUCCAGGGACUGGAUCAUUGGAUGAUACAAUCCUGCUCCAACAAGGGUAACCAGUAGCUGAAAAGAGUUGCAUCCCAUACUCAGAGCUUGGCCAUUUUGAGCAUUUGAGGAAAUAAUCCCAAGGGACUAAACAUGAAGGAGGUGAUCUCUGGUCUGGUCUUAAGGCACCUGCUGUGUUUAUCCCAAAGCCCCUUUUUGGUGGAGAUUGUCCUGGGGAUAACUGGUAAUAUUUACUCCCCUUGCCUUCACCCCCAGCCCAAGAAACAACUGAUGAAUACAGAGCAAUGUCAAGCAAUUCAUUUUAAGAAUAAAUGCUGUGGCCCAGAAACAGAGCAUAAAGUUAAUUACAUGAUGUAUAAUCUAAAAGUGGGAACUAUUGAUACCAUGGAAUCUCACUGGAGUCAGGUAAUGUGUGACUGAGAGGUGGUCCCCAAAUGAGUGUCGUGAAGUCUUCAUACAUCUUGAAUUAAAAGUGUAUCUUAAAGAUUAGUUGAAAAGCUAAAAAAAUUGGUAAGUGGGCAGUUUUUGUAAUGAUUUGGUGGGUGUAAGGCAGGAAAUUUUACCUAAUUGGACUUUAAAAAGUCCAUAGAAUGAAAAUGCUAAUAAAUAGUAAUAAUAAUGAUAAUGUAUUAAUAACAUGUUAGCAGAAGGAAGAUACUUUAGAAUGAGUUUGACUAACUUUAAGAAAUUUCUUGGUAGCCUUAUGAUUUUGGACAUGGGUUUAUUAUAAAAUGGUUGUGAUUAUUACGGGGAAAAUUGAACCCUCAAGUAUCAGACAUUUUAAAAUGUAAGAUUUCUUUUUAUAGGUUUCUGUGAUGAAUUGUUAACAUAGGACUAUUUUAAAUAACUAGUUCUUAAAUAUAGCCCUAGAUUGUAUGAUAAUAAAAAUGUAAUAUCAUUUUUAAUAAUCUUCAGAGGACUAUUACCAAAGCUCCUUUUUCACAGGAGAUGAAAGAAAUUCAAGCUCUUAACUUGCCUAAAUCUGGGAAUUGCUGGGACCAGGAGCAGUUCUUCUGAACCCUGGGUCAGUGCUCACUGUGUUUUGAUGACUGAAAAAAAUGCUUGUGCUUUAUUUAGGUUGCUCUUGAAGAAAACCUAGAGCAUUAUAAGUAUUCUUAGCUCAGUUCCAGGUUACAAAACAACACAUCAUUAUUUUUUGACAUUUCCUGGUGAAUGAAUUCAACAUAAUUCUUCAUUUUAUUCUAUCAUUCAUUUUACUCUCUGAAGUCUAGGCACCAUUUCGUGUUCUGUCUGUGGAAUUUAUCUGGUUCUUUUUGCCUUGUGUUUCAAGCUGAGGGAAUUCCUAUGUUGCUUCUAUGAGAAAAGUCACUUCAUCAUUUAUUGAACAUAUACUGAAAACAGGUAAAGCUGGCAAAAAAUUGAGUGUGAGCUUCAUGUAUUUAAAAAGCAUUUAGAAUAAUGGGAAUUCUUACUUGGAAAAGCUUUGAGGGAAUUAUUUUUUCAUGUAAGGAGGUUUUGUCUAAUAGGCAGUGGGGUAUAUGGGAGCAUGGAGCUUGGGAUACAGGUAAGGUGGAGGUGCUAACUUGGGAACCUUUAGCAGGGGAUCAGCCAUGUAGUGGUGAGUCUAGAUGGAGAAGACAGAGGAGUUUGAGAACCUCAGUGGGCCACAUGCCGAUAUAGAGCAGUGUUCCUCUCCCCAGCUCCACUGUAGAAUCACCCUCAAGACUGUCAAACACACAGUGGUAACUGGGCCUCCUCCCUGGGGCUCCCGACUCAGUUACCUGGUACAUAACCUGGGCAUUAGCAUGUUAGAGGCACUUCCCAGGUGGUUCUAAUGUACAGGUGGGGAUUGAGAACUCCUGUUUCAGAAGUGAGGAGGAGGAAGGGAACCCUCAAAGGAGACGAGUAGACAGAAAGAGAAAUGAAGAAGAAUGAUGUCUUGGAAGCCAAAUGCAGGAAGUGCUCAGGGAAGGCAGGUGGGACAACUGUGCCAAACGCUGCUGAUACAACCCACAUUCUGAGAAGGUCAGUGUGGAGGCCACUGCCGAUCCCAAUGAGGGCAGUUCCUGGGGAGCGGGAGGCAUGCAAGUCGAAAUGGAGUAGGUUAGAGCUUGAGAAAGGAGAAUAUAGACAAUGUUUCAGAGCAGUUUUGUUUUAAAGGAGAACAGAAAUGAGGAUGUUCUUAGGAAGAGUUUGAAGUUAAGGGACUUCAUUGUUUUUUCAAGAUGGCAAAAAAAAAAAUCACAGCACACUUGCAUGCUUAUGGGGAUGAUACAGUUGCAAGGCGGGUAAUGAAUGAAGAAGAACCUGAGAACAGUUGAAGGAGAUGUUGAGUCCAAGAGGAGGGGCUUCAGAGACCAGCGGAAACAAGGAGGAAGGCAGCACACAUAGGAGCCAGAGCAGCUGAGCUGAUGCUGAGGCCCCGCCGUGCUGUGCAGAGAGGACGUUGGUUGAUGUGAGCCGAGGGUGGGAGCAACUGGAGGUCUGAAAAGAGGGAACCUUGGAAACAGUUGCCCUGAGAGACCGGAAUGGAGGUGGGAUGGAUGGGCAGCUUUAAGGGCUCAUUUGAAGUGUGCGGUCCUGAAAUGAAGUGAGACCAGUGACCACGGUGGACUGGUUUUUCUCCAUAUGUCCCACUUCUGUGGGCAGAGGUGUAGACAAGGCUGAAAGUUAAAUUUAAGCAGUGAGUCUUUAUUUGGUUUUUAUUCCAGUUGGGUGUGAUGAAGGGGGAGAUACGCUGAGCACAUUUGCAGGGGAAUAUGUACAAUGAUUGGGUUUGGAGUCUAAGCUGUAGAAGGAGGCACGUGAGGAUACGAGAGAGCAGGUCCGUGGGCUUGUGGCCCCCAUGGGCAGAAGGGUUCUGGGAGGAAGGCAAAAGGGGAGGUGAUUUGGCAACAUAGGAAUUGGUGUUUAGCAAGUGAAAUGCUUGAAAUUAAGAUUAUGGAAGAAGUGCAGCUACUUACAUAGCAAGUCCCCUGCAUACGAAUGAGUUCUGCUUAGAGAGCGUGUUCAUAAAUCCAAUUUGUUCAUAAGACAUACAAAGUUAGCCUUGGUGCCCAGCUAACACAGUCAGCUACAUAGUACUGUCCUGUCAUAGGUUUAUAAUACUUUUCCUACAAAUAAUACAUACAUAAGAAACAAACACAAAAAAUAAAGAAAAUAUUUUUAAUAUUACAGUACAGUACCUUGAAAAGUACAUUAGUACAGUACAACACCUGGCAUCCAGGGGCUGGCAUCGAGUGAACAGGUAAGAAGAGCUGUUGCCUGGAGGAGGGAGAGGAGGUGGGAGAUUUCAGGGAAAAAGUCCAAAUCCCAUAAAACCAUUUAAGAAAUAGAUAAUUUAUCUUUUCUAGAUGCUUUUUCUUUGCGUGAACUCUGUAUAUUUAACAAGACUUUAGGAUUAUGGGAAUUACUAUGAGCCCUGGCACCAUCUUGGUCGUCUUGUCUCCAGCUGAGGUCAAUGCCGAGACACAGAGGGGGACCUGGUGGAGAGAACUACAUAGGCCUGGACGGGAGCUCUCACAUCACCCCAGGACGUGCCCUAUCUUGGUACUUCUUGCUAUAUAUGUUUCUAAUUGAGAACAGAUGUGCCCCUGGACAUUUUGAAGAAACUGUUUCUGAGUGUGGUGUCUGCUUCUCCAGACCAAGCUCCCAGAUGUCUUUUUUCCUACUCCCUGCGGAGGUGACUGCUCUCAAUCCCUUGUUUAAGGAUCUGAAAGGCCAGCUGUUGUGAAUGAAGAGUGGAAAAGCCUCACAUCCAACCAAGGAAACGUGUUCUGAAGGUUUUGCACACCAACAGUGAAGUGUUGCUUUGAAUUCUUUUAAAAUCAAGGUUUAAGACAUUUUUUGCUUUGUAAAACUGAAAGAGGAAUUUGUACACCUUUCAUGGGAGAUUUAAGUUCUUUACUGAGCUAAAGAAUCUGCCCUCAAUGUGAAAGACCUGAGUUUGA
Long non-coding RNA from Cervus elaphus (red deer), 4577 nucleotides. RefSeq lists it as uncharacterized. The transcript is spliced from 7 exons. Lineage: Eukaryota; Metazoa; Chordata; Mammalia; Artiodactyla; Cervidae. The record is from RefSeq and is a predicted model, not a curated record.